UAGGGAAUCUUCCACAAUGGACGCAAGUCUGAUGGAGCAACGCCGCGUGAGUGAAGAAGGCUUUCGGGUCGUAAAACUCUGUUAUUGAAGAAGAACGUGCGUGACAGUAACUGGUCAUGCAGUGACGGUAUUCAAUCAGAAAGUCACGGCUAACUACGUGCCAGCAGCCGCGGUAAUACGUAGGUGGCAAGCGUUGUCCGGAUUUAUUGGGCGUAAAGCGAGUGCAGGCGGUCUUUUAAGUCUGAUGUGAAAGCCUUCGGCUUAACCGAAGAAGGGCAUCGGAAACUGGGAGACUUGAGUGCAGAAGAGGAGAGUGGAACUCCAUGUGUAGCGGUGAAAUGCGUAGAUAUAUGGAAGAACACCAGUGGCGAAGGCGGCUCUCUGGUCUGUAACUGACGCUGAGGCUCGAAAGCGUGGGUAGCAAACAGGAUUAGAUACCCUGGUAGUCCACGCCGUAAACGAUGAGUACUAAGUGUUGGAGGGUUUCCGCCCUUCAGUGCUGCAGCUAACGCAUUAAGUAUUCCGCCUGGGGAGUACGACCGCAAGGUUGAAAC
This 554-nucleotide ribosomal RNA is filed under the name uncultured bacterium. Its description in RNAcentral is "partial 16S ribosomal RNA". It matches the Rfam family "Bacterial small subunit ribosomal RNA", at positions 355 to 900 of the family's 1533-position model. The record is from RNAcentral.